This 1850-nucleotide long non-coding RNA is filed under the name Homo sapiens (human). RNAcentral's name for it is "HSALNT0390925". The record is from RNAcentral. Lineage: Eukaryota; Metazoa; Chordata; Mammalia; Primates; Hominidae.
GGGGCGGGCCUGGGGAAGGGACUCCCGCGGCCCUAAGGUGCUGGCGGGCGUUUGGCGUUGCAGCUGUGUGGGCGCUGGUGCGUGCGAGUAGCGCUCGAAGAAACCCAAAGGCGUCGUGGGGCUGCCGUGUGCCCCAGAGAGCACUGCAGGCCGGGUAGGGGCUAAGGCUCCCCGCAGUCUUCUGUGUGUCGUCCAGUACGCAGUUGAAAUCGUUCUCCAACCUGGCCAGUCCUCCGAGGCCCUUCUCAGGCGACCAGACUCUGUUAACAGAGUCCAUUGCUAAAACUCCUCGUUAGUAUUUACCACUCCUCCAGUCUGUGUUUUGAAGCAGUGGUUUUCAACCACUGCCCGUUUUCAGAAGAAAUCAUCUCAAGCGUCCGUGUGCUGCUAGAAGCCGGGCCGGGAGGUCUUGGUGCCGGACUCCACCCUGCAGCCCUUCCCUUUCGCCACCGCCCUGUGCUUAGAGAAACCUUAGAGUGGAGCAAUGAGUCGCCCUUGACUGAGUAACUCUUCGGGGUCAACUUCUCCUUCCACGCCAAGGAAAGGAUUCCAGGGCGAUGUUUCUGGAAAUAGAGAUCUGACCAAGCCACUGCUCUGGUGAAAAUUCAGUGGGUCCCUAGCACCUAGUGCAGCGGCUCCUAGCCUGAGUAUUGCCGUCUUUCGGUGGGGAGGGGUUGGGUUUUUUUGUAGCAUCUGUUGAUCUGAUCUCCAACAUCCUCCACGUCAAUUCCCACUCCACCCACAUCCCUUAUCCUAUACGUAAGCUUUCCAGCCACGGUGCUGGCUUGGGUGGGGGUGCGUGCGGUGCUGACACCAAAAUGGAGGUCCCGUGUUUCUGAGAGUCUCUUUCAGAGCAAUGCAAACCUGAAACUACUCCUGCCAAGAAACGAUUGCAGCUCUUCCCGGAAAAGUUAAAGCCUUUGAGAAACAAAGCUGAGUAAGAAGGAGAACUAAGAAAGAGACUGAAGCAUGGUCUGUGGAGAAGGCACUUGUGCAAACACCAGGAGAAUGAGGGGCCUGAGUUGUCUUCGUUUCUCCUAAAAGCAUGCAUUCCCGGCUGGGCGCGGUGACUCAUGCGUGUAAUCCCGCCACUUUAGAAGGCUGAGGCAGGCGGAUCACCUGAGAUCGGGAGUUCGAGACCAGCCCGACCAACAUGGAGAAACCCCAUCUCUAUUAAAAAUACAAAAUUACCCAGGCAUGGUGGCACAUGCCUGUAAUCCCAGCUACUUGGGAGGCGAAGGCAGGAGAAUUGCUUGAACCCAGAAGGCGGAAGCUGCAGAGAGCCGAGAUUUCGCCAUUGUACUCCAGCCUGGGCAACAAGAGUGAAACUCCAUCUCAAAAAACAAACAAACAAACACACAAACAAACAAACAAACACAUUCCCUCCCAGGCCACCCAAGUGAGGGCAUGAAGCACAGCGUGUGUGUGUGUGUGUGUGUGUGUGUGUGCACGCGUGUGUGCAUAUGUGUGUUUGUGUGUUGCAGGGGUUACAGUGGACAGGAUGUGGGAGGGCAGCUGCAGCUCCAAGCUGCAAGUCUUUCUGAUAGAAUGCUUAAAACUCCUUGGACCACAGCAAGAGAGUGUUUUCAUUUGCACCCAUUUUUAUUAGCGUUUGAACCUGUACUUUUUGUAGCAUGUAAACCUUAAGCUGCUUAACUAUUCCUUGAAGCAUUUACACCAGCGGUUCCCAACCUUUUUGCUACCUGAGACCAGUUUUCUUGAAGACAAUUCUUCCACGGACCCGGGAGAAGGGGAAGGGAUGAUGUGGAGAUGAUUCAAGCCCAUUACAUUUAUUGUGUGCUUCAUUUCUAUUAUUUCACUGUAAUAUAUAAUGAAAUAAUUACACAACU